Molecule: ribosomal RNA, 292 nt
Filed under: uncultured Bacteroidota bacterium
Lineage: Bacteria; Pseudomonadati; Bacteroidota
Description: uncultured Bacteroidetes bacterium partial 16S ribosomal RNA
Source: RNAcentral
GGACUACCGGGGUUUCUAAUCCUGUUUGAUCCCCACGCUUUCGUGCCUCAGCGUCAAUAUUUGUUUAGCAAGCUGCCUUCGCAAUUGGUGUUCUAAGUCAUAUCUAUGCAUUUCACCGCUACAUGACUUAUUCCGCCUACCUCAACAAAAUUCAAGACUAAUAGUAUCAAUGGCAGUUUCCAGGUUGAGCCCGGAGAUUUCACCACUGACUUAAAAGCCCGCCUACACACCCUUUAAACCCAGUAAAUCCGGAUAACGCUUGCACCCUCCGUAUUACCGCGGCUGCUGGCAC